AGUCUUCUGUAUCCGUGCUGAGAUUUCGUCACACAUCAGACCACAAGGGCUGAUGAGACUCUCAAGAUAAGUGAAGCG
Molecule: microRNA precursor, 78 nt
Filed under: Schistosoma mansoni
Lineage: Eukaryota; Metazoa; Platyhelminthes; Trematoda; Strigeidida; Schistosomatidae
Description: mir-3492 microRNA precursor family
Rfam family: mir-3492 microRNA precursor family
Source: Rfam by way of RNAcentral